GUGCUGGUUUCAGCAGCAUACAGACUAAAAUUGGAUCGAUCCGGAGAAGAUAACGCACGGUCCCUGCACAAGGAUGACACGCAAAUUCAUGAAGCAUUCCAUGUUUUC
Molecule: small nuclear RNA, 108 nt
Filed under: Procavia capensis (Cape rock hyrax)
Lineage: Eukaryota; Metazoa; Chordata; Mammalia; Hyracoidea; Procaviidae
Source: RNAcentral